CCGACCUUGAAAUACCACCCUUUAAUGUUUGAUGUUCUAACGUGGACCCGUGAUCCGGGUUGCGGACAGUGUCUGGUGGGUAGUUUGACUGGGGCGGUCUCCUCCUAAAGAGUAACGGAGGAGCACGAAGGUUGGCUAAUCCUGGUCGGACAUCAGGAGGUUAGUGCAAUGGCAUAAGCCAGCUUGACUGCGAGCGUGACGGCGCGAGCAGGUGCGAAAGCAGGUCAUAGUGAUCCGGUGGUUCUGAAUGGAAGGGCCAUCGCUCAACGGAUAAAAGGUACUCCGGGGAUAACAGGCUGAUACCGCCCAAGAGUUCAUAUCGACGGCGGUGUUUGGCACCUCGAUGUCGGCUCAUCACAUCCUGGGGCUGAAGUAGGUCCCAAGGGUAUGGCUGUUCGCCAUUUAAAGUGGUACGCGAGCUGGGUUUAGAACGUCGUGAGACAGUUCGGUCCCUAUCUGCCGUGGGCGCUGGAGAACUGAGGGGGGCUGCUCCUAGUACGAGAGGACCGGAGUGGACGCAUCACUGGUGUUCGGGUUGUCAUGCCAAUGGCACUGCCCGGUAGCUAAAUGCGGAAGAGAUAAGUGCUGAAAGCAUCUAAGCACGAAACUUGCCCCGA
Molecule: ribosomal RNA, 617 nt
Filed under: Salmonella enterica subsp. enterica serovar Infantis
Lineage: Bacteria; Pseudomonadati; Pseudomonadota; Gammaproteobacteria; Enterobacterales; Enterobacteriaceae
Also listed under: 7 other names
Description: partial 23S ribosomal RNA
Rfam family: Bacterial large subunit ribosomal RNA
Source: RNAcentral